UGGAGCGUGUGGUUUAAUUCGAAGCAACGCGCAGAACCUUACCAGGUCUUGACAUCCCCUGACAGCCUCAGAGAUGAGGUGUUCUGGUUUCCAGACAGGGAGACAGGUGUUGCAUGGUUGUCGUCAGCUCGUGUCGUGAGAUGUUGGGUUAAGUCCCGCAACGAGCGCAACCCCCGUUCUGUGUUGCCAGCGUAAAGUCGGGCACUCACAGGAGACUGCCGGAGACAAUUCGGAGGAAGGUGGGAUGACGUCAAAUCCUCAUGGCCCUUAUGACCUGGGCUACACACGCGCUACAAUGGCCUGUACAGAGGGAAGCGAAAGAGCGAUCUGGAGCGAAUCUCACAAAACAGGUCUCAGUUCAGAUCGAAGUCUGCAACUCGACUUCGUGAAGGCGGAAUUGCUAGUAAUCGCGAAUCAGCCAUGUCGCGGUGAAUACGUUCCCGGGGUUU
Molecule: ribosomal RNA, 449 nt
Filed under: uncultured Eubacteriales bacterium
Lineage: Bacteria; Bacillati; Bacillota; Clostridia; Eubacteriales
Description: bacterial SSU rRNA
Rfam family: Bacterial small subunit ribosomal RNA
Source: RNAcentral